CCUUCCUUGUCGAACCGAUGAGACAUAAACCUUGAACGACACACCCACCAACCCGCCUAGUCAUUCGAUGGAGUUUAGGAGGUACUUUAAGGGGAAGGUUCGAACCGAUCCCAAGCCCAUCUCCUUCUUAUCGAGCAAGGAUUGUGGACCAUAGUCUAUGUCGGCGAUAGCACCUCAAAAGGGUGGGCGGAGCAUGAGCAGAAGUUCAGAUGGCCGCUCGGCGUAGGUACCUCCGCGACAGUAGCCUUAGGUUCCGCUACAUGCUAGAUGAAGCGCGAUUAUAGUGGUGGCUACAGUUGUGGGGAGAAGUGAGUUCAGUCCUCGAGCAGGAGUUCCGGCAGGUCUUGUACGAACUGCUCUGUCGCCGUGCUUAGUUGCUGAGCAACUGAAGCUUCUAGCUCCGGCACGCGCUCCUAGAGCCGCAGCUGUAGCGGGUCUACACGGAGCGGCUGCUGUUCCCGAGGGCACCCCUUAACGACGUGAGAAGCCCAUGGAGCAAGUUGGCCUGUCCACCGAGGAGCAGUCACGGGUACGUCUAAGAUGUCACAGCGCAAGCUGUCCUUCCGUUUGCGUGUUAACGAGUCCCGGAAUAGGUUACCUUACUACCACGGGGCCUACGACGUUGGACCCUUCUAGAGCUUAGUGACUUCGUUUUCAAAGGGGCCCGUGGCCGAACCCCAGUUCGGCGAAGAGUUCCAGCCCCCCCACAGUUGUCGAGAGGAAGUUGAUGAUGACUGCUGUACCGCCCGUGACCCGACCUUUUGGUUCUCCUCCGUGAUCCGGGUUGACCUCUUCAUAGCAAGUCCGGGUACUCUCUGACAGCAGUAGGCUUUACCGAACGUCCAGUACUCACCCGGGUGAUCCGGAACAUUGACAGCAUAUUUAUCUACCGAGACCAUCCUCACCUGUACUUCCUUCCUUGCCGAACCGAUGAGACAUAAACCUUGAACGACACACCCACCAACCCGCCUAGUCGUUCGAUGGAGUUUAGGAGGUACUUUAAGGGGAAGGUUCGAACGGAUCCCAAGCCCAUCUCCUUCUUAUCGAGCAAGGAUUGUAAGAUGGAUUCCGCCGUCGGAGGGAGGGGGACGAAGUUGGGUACCGCCGCCGGUGGUGACGCGGCGGAAGGAGCACAGGGUGCAGCGGCCACGCGAGAGAGGGGCCGCCGGCUGCGCGGAGGAAAACGGGUACGCAGCACGAGGACGCCGGCGGGCGGGUGCGUGGCGGUUGGCUCGAGGCGGGAAUGUAGAGCGGUGGUGCUGGCGAGGAGGUGUAGAACCCGACGGCCGCGUGGUGGUGGG
Molecule: ribosomal RNA, 1301 nt
Filed under: Triticum aestivum (bread wheat)
Lineage: Eukaryota; Viridiplantae; Streptophyta; Magnoliopsida; Poales; Poaceae
Description: partial small subunit ribosomal RNA
Source: RNAcentral